CAUGUCAAAUUUAUGAUUGUGAUGUUUAAUCUGUGUUUAUUUUCAUCCUCUGUAGUUUUUACCUCUGACAUUGCAAUUGGCAUUUCUGCAAGUAUGGUUUGAGUUUUAAAGAAGUAUCUUACAUGCCUCUACUUAUUGUCUCAAGCUUUUUAGGGGGUACAGUCAUUUCCUUACAAACAGAACCCUUUUGGUUCUUCUUUUAGAUUUUGGGUAAUUUCCCACUCCUGAGGCAAGAGUUUUCUGAUUAUUUAUUGUCCUGUGAAGUAUGAGUUUUUGGGCCUGGCUCCUGGGAAUGGACCCUCUUCUGGGCACUUCGAGAACAGCAGACAUUGUUUCUCCUAAUCUUGUUCUAUUGUUUACCCUGCUGCCUUGGUCUUAGGAAGUUUCCUAGCACACAUGCAUUUUUUUCAUUAUUCUAUUAAAUACUUUAGAGGGGACCUCUGCAGAUGUCCAGGGUUUCUUUCCGCCGCUGCUUUCUCCUCUCAAGUGUUCUGUCCUGUGAUUUCUCUCUGCUUUCAUUUUACCAGACUCUUAGCGUCACCACCCCAGCUCAGGGAAUCUGUCAGAUUUUCUCCCUUUGUCAUGGCCUUGGAGCUCUGUCCACACAAAAAGCUGGGACUUUUGUAAGGCCUACAUUUGUUUCUUGUCUUUCAGUGAUUACCAUCCUUGUUACAGAAGUCCAUUGUGUUGAAAGGCAUUGUUUCAUGUAUUUUGCCUGGUUGUUUUUGGCUUCAGGUAAGAAAGAAAAUCAGCACCCGUUGCUCCCUCUUGGCUGGAAGCAGAUUGCAGCAGAGCUCCAGAACAUGCAUCAGACUAGCCAGAGUGCUCUGCUUUCUCCUUUGCUCAACUGCUUCCUUCUCAUUUUUCAUUUCUCAGUGUAGCCUUCUCUUCCUCAGGGAAAUCUUCCCUUGGCCAAUUAUAGGUCAAAUUCUCUUAUGUGAUUAUAAAACUAUGUAUUCUUAAAGCAGCUAUCUGAAUUUAUAUUUGUCACCUUUGUCUUUGUUCUUCACUAUGCUUUAAGCUAAACAAGGUCAGACGUGUUGUCUGUUUUAUCUGAAGAUCUUUCUAUAUAUUUUCCACACUGCAGGCAGUCAAUAUAUGCAUACUCAUUCAGUGUAUGAAUGAGUGCCACGUUGAUAUCCACAGUACUUUAUAUCUAAAACCCUACUCAUGUAUUUUAUCUCUAUUUUAUUUUCCCUUGGUUACAGAUUUUGUUAGCCUAUUGAAAAUCAAGAAUGCAAUAUCUGCACAUGAAAGAUUAAUAGAACAUAAAAUACAUUACUGUGAACAACUUACUGUGAAAUUUCAAAAAAUGAAAAAUGAGAUUAGUAAACUACGAAAGGAACUGUCUGAAAUAGACAAAACCAAAUCACAGAUAGAGCAUCAGAAACCUGAUUGGAAACAAGAGCUCCAUAUUUUAAGAUUAAUCUUACAACAACAAGAAGAAAAAAGAAGAAAGCCUGAAAAGUAUGAAAAAGGUAUAGAAAAGUUCAAAAUAAUGGAAGAGCAAUAUUGGACACAAGCCAGAGUGAAAAACCUACUUAAGCUGACUCACAAAUCAUUGAAUAUAGAAUUGAAGACUGUAAGAAAUAAUUUAAAUCAGAGUUCUUUUACCCAUGAAAAAGAAAGAGACCUGUGGCAGAAAAAUCACUUGAUGCGGGUUGAAAUUGCCAGACUCAGGCUAGAAAUAGACACAAUAAAACAUCAGAACCAGGAAAUUGAAAAUAUGUAUUUCAAGGAUAUUGAAAUUAUAAAGAAAAAGAAUGAAGACCUUGAAAAGACUCUAAAGCUGAAUGAGGAAACAUUAACAAAAACAAUAAACUGGUAUAGUGAAGAGCUUAAUGGUCUGACAUUGGAUAAGAAUACAGUGCUCAAUUCUGAGCUAGAGAAGGAAAAACAAAGAAAGCAAAGACUGGAAACAGAAUUGGAAUUAUACAGUCGUAGACUGGCUGCUGCUCUAUGUGAUCGUGAUCAAAGUCAGUCAUCAAAAAGAGACCUACAGCUUGCUUUCCAGAACACAGUAAAUCAGUGGUGUCAUUUACAAGAAAAUAUGAAUUCUCACAUUCAGAUUCUUUCUCAGCAACUUUCUAAAGCUGAGAGUAAAUCCAGAGGCCUGGAAACUGAGCUCCAUUGCGAAAGAGAGGCUCUCAAGGAAAAGACGUUGGCUAUAGAACACAUGCAAGGAGUCAUAAGCCAAGCACAGUGUCGAAUGAAGGCCUUUGAACACAUGUACCAAAAUGACCAACAUAUAGUGGAAAAAUAUGUGAGAAAGCAGCAAUCUGUACAGGACGGACUAUUUCAAAUACAAAGCCAAAAUUCAUUGCAUCAACAGCAACUUAAUGAUGCUCACAAGAAAGCUGACAAUCAGGAAAAAACAAUAAUUGAUAUCCAAGCCAAAUGUGAAGAUACUGUAGAGAAACUUCAAGCUGAGUGUAGAAAGCACUGUAUUCUGCUAGAAGAGAACAACAAGGGGUUGAUAGAGGAAUAUACUCUUUUAAAAGAAAGGCAAUGCCAGUAUGAAAAAGAGAAAGAAGAAGGACAAGUAGUUGUGAGAAAACUCAAACGAGAGCUUGGUGAUGUCCUGAACAAACAGUCACUGGCAGAAGUUGCAAGAAACCCAGGAUCAACUCACAGAGACUCUAAGAUAUGAUGAGGAGAUUCCAGACAACGUGCAAAACAGGUGUGCAAGAAAACAUAACUGCAGAAGUAGAUGAAGAGUUACUGUGUAUUUAUGUGUCAUCUACAUGCCAUGGAAGUCUUAAAAUCAGUUGUCAGUUUCUACAAAAUACCUGCUUGGAUUUGGACUGGGAUUGCAUUAUGUCAUAGGAAAGAAUGAACAUCUUAAUAAUGUUGAGUUUUUCAACCUAUGAAUAAGGUGUUUUCUUAGAACUUAUUUGAUUUUUCUCCUCAAUACUUUUUGGUUAUCGUUGUACAGGUAUUUUGCAUAGUAUGUCAGAUAUAUUCCCAAGAAUUUUAUAUUUUAAUGCUAUUAUAAAUAGUAUUAUUUUUAAAAUUUAAAUUCCUAACAGUUUAUUUGUAACAUAUAGAAUUACAAUUGAUUUUUGUAUGUCAAUCAUGUGUCCUGCAAUAUGGGAAAACUCACUCACUGGUGUCAGUAAUGUUGCAAUGGAUUUCACCUGGUUUUCUACACAGAUGAUUAUGUCUGUGAAUAAAGACAAUUUUACUUAUUUCUUUUCAGUCUAGAUGCCAUUUAUUUUCCUCCCUCCCUUCCUCUCUUCCACUCUUCCUUGCUUCCUUCCCUCCUUUCUUCCUUCUCCUGACUCCCUUUUAAAAGUGAUUACAGUGGCUCGAAUUUCCAGUACAUUGUUGAAUAGAAGUGGUAAGAGCUGACAUGCAAGUCUUAUUCUUGGUCUUAGGGGAAAACAUUCAGUCUUUCAUCAUUAUGUAAGAUGUUAGCAUUACGUAUUUUUAAAAAGCCUUUUGACAUAUUCAGGAAAUUCUCCUGUAUUCACAGUUUGCUGAGAUUUUUUUUUUUUUCUUGGAGAUGGAGUUUCACUCUCAUUGCCCAGGCUGGAGUGUAGUGGCCCAAUCUCAGCUCACCACAACCUCCGCCUCCCAGGUUCAAGCGAUUCUCCUGCCUCAGCCUCAUGAAUAGGUGGGAUUAGAGGCAAGCACCACCACACCAGCUAAUUUUGUAUCUUUUUAGUAGAGACAGGGUUUCUCCAUGUUGGUCAGGAUGGUGUCAAUAUCCCAACCUCAGGUGAUUUGCCUGCCUCAACCUCCCAAAGUCCUGGGAUUACAUGUGUGAACCACCGCACCUGGCCCCACUGAGAUUAUUUUUUUAAUGAAAAAUGUUCAAUUUUCUCAUGUUUUUUCUGUAUCUAAUACAUACGGUUUUUAUUUUUUAAUAUUGUUAAUAUAAGAUUGAUUUGGGGGAGAAGGUUAAGUUCAUAUUUUUAAUUCAAAGUAAUUUUUAAAUGUAGCUUUUUCUUGAAAUUUUUUAGUUUAAAUCUUCUGUUUAAAAGACUAAGCAUUGUCAAUUAUUUUUUAAACUUCUGGUGAAAUAUAUAUAAUAUAAAAUUUCACAUUUCAACAAUUUUUAGCUCCAUAGUUCAAUAGCAUUAAAUACAUUUACAAUGUCGUACAAUAAUCAACAUUAUUAAUUUCUAGAACUUUUCAUAAUCCCUAACAGAAACUCUGUAUGCAUUAAAUAAUAUCUUCCCAUAGUCUCUCUCCUUAUCCCUAGUAACCUCUAUUAUACUUUCUGUCUCUGUGAAUUUACCCAUGCCAGGUAUAGUAUAUAAGUAAAAUCAUGAUAUAGUGGCUUUUUGUGUCUGGGUUAUUUCACUUACCAUAAUGUUUUCAAGGCUCAUCUGUAUUGUACAGCAUGUAUCAGUAGAUUGUUUCCUCUUAUUUGUGAUUAAUAUUCUAUUGCAGAGAAAUACCACAUUUUAUUUAACAGUUGAUGGACAUUUGUAUUGUUUCCAGGUUUUUACUAUUAUGAAUAAUGCACUAUGGACAUGUAUGUAGACAUGUUUCUCUUGGGUAACCACUCAGGUGGGAAUCUAAGUCAAAUGGUAACUAUGUUUAAUCUCAAGAAACUGUCAGGCUGUUGAUUCAAUACAGCUGUAUAAUUUUACAUUUCCAGGAGCAGUGUUUGAGGGUUCCAAUUUCUCCACAUCUUUUGCAGUAUUUUUUUUCAUCUUUUUUAUUACAGGCAUUCUAGUGGUGUUAAGUGGUACCUCGUUGUUUUGAUUUGCGUUUCCCUUUGAUGUUGAGCAUGACUUACUUCUUGUGGUUACUGGCCAGUUGUCAUUUCUUAGAUGAAAUACCUGGUCAUUAUCUUUUGUCCAUGUUUUAACUGAUUGCCUUUUUCUUGUUGAUUUGUAAGAUUUCUUUAUAUAUUCUGAACAAGAAUGUAUUUUUUUACAGAUUUUUUAAUAAACUUCGUUCUAAAUCUAAUAUUA
Callithrix jacchus (white-tufted-ear marmoset) is the source of this 4928-nucleotide non-coding RNA. The record is from RefSeq and is a predicted model, not a curated record. NCBI's taxonomy places the organism in Eukaryota, Metazoa, Chordata, Mammalia, Primates, Cebidae.